GGGAGGUUAGGACUGCAGAGUGGUACUGGAAAGCUUCCUCAGUAAAGUACUUGUCACAGUCUGGAAGACCAGGAAGAUCAGAAUUUGUUCCCAGAACCUACAUUUAAAAAAAAAAAAAAACAUUGUGAUACAUCUCAGUGCUAGGCAUUAAGGCAGGAGUAGGAUCCUGUGGCUCUUCAGCCAACCAGCCUAGCCUAACUGGCAAGUUUCAGAAGUAUAUGAGUCCUGAAGUAGACCUCUGGCCACACACACUCAUACAUUCUUCAUAAACACAUAUACACAGACAGACACACAAAGAAAUCCUUCCCACAAAACCUGUUACUAAAACAUGAAAGAACUUGGGGUUUAAAAAACCUAAGUUGUCUGGGAGCUGGCGAGAAUGCUGGCUGCUCUGGAAGAGGACCCAAGUUAGAAUCCAACGUCCACAUGGGGUGAGUCAUAACUACCUCCAACAGCUCCAGUAGAUCCAAUAGCCUCUUGCCUCUGAAGGUACCUACAUGCAUAUGCAUAUUGACACACAGGCAUGUACAUACACAUAAGUGAAAAUUAAAAUCUUAAGCUCUCCAUUACAGCAGACUUGACCAUAUCAGAUGAGUUUUAAAACCUGGUGUUUGUCUUAAGUUUGCCGAUAGAUUGUUGUACUCUAGGUCUGCUGUUUCUUCGGUACUAGAGUGGCUAAGGUAGUCCUUAUUAUCCACUGUCUAGCAUGGUGAGCAGUGAGCCAACUGUGCCAUAGUUGUGUAGGGAUCGUUGUUAACUAGCACUUGGAAAAUAAAGAGUACUGUUUGAACUGGAGGGUUUUAUAAAUGUUCAGCCUCAGAAAAAUGUCUUUCUCAAACCAUAGUAAUUCUGGAGCCAUUUCAGAUUUCACCACUUUGAGGUGCUACUAUUUAUAUAGGACUUAGUGGUUUUCCCUGGUAUUUUACUUGUAAAUGUGUUAAGUCAUCACUGCACAUGACAUUGGCAUGGCAAUUGGGAGCUGAGUGUGGAUCCACCUAUCUUUCAGAUUCAUUUUAUAUGGGAAUACUGUUGACUUAGAUUUAUGUAUCUCAUUCUGAUUAUCUGAAAUUUAGCUGGUUAUUGGGUUAGGAGGAAAACAAAGUGUACAUCUAUAAAGAUAACGUGACGAUAUUUCACUUUGCACCCUUAUUUUUGCACUAUGCUUGGCAGUUUAGUGUUUACAAAGUUCCAAGCAUAUUUUAGUUUGGUAAAAGCCAUUUUAUAAGCUCUAGAGUCUGUUUCCUUAUAAAAGUAUAAAAAGUGAUACGUGCCUUUAACUCUUAACACAUAGGAGGGAGAGACGGGAGGAUCAGAACCCCGAGAUCAUCCUCAGCUUCCUAGUGAGUUGGAAGGCAGCCUUGUCUGUGUGAGGCCUUGUCUUGAAAACAAAGCAAGCUGAGCAUAGUGGUACACACUUGUGAUUCCAGCAUUAGGGAGAUGAGGACAGGAUGGGCAGGAGUUCAAGUCCAGCCUGGUCUAUGUAGUGAGUUUAAAAUCAGCCUGGACAGGGGGCUGGACAGAUGGUUCAGCGGUUAAGAGCACUGACUGCUCUUCUAGAGGUCCUAAGUCCAGCAACCACAUGAUGACUCACAAGCACCUUUAUGGGAUCUGAUUCCCUCUUCAGCUGUGUCUGAGGACAGCGACAGUGUACUCGUAUACAUAAAAAUAAAUUAAUCUUUUUUAAAAAAUCAGCUACCUGAAACCCUCUCCUAAUAUCUGAGCUUAAGAACUUUGUAAGCAAUACAUACUGAGCUUUGGGUUUUAGAAGUGCGUUUCUGGGUCAGAAUUACAAAUGCUGUAGUGCACUGCUCAGCUUAGGGGGCACGCUGUAGAAUGGUGAAAUGUGCCAUUCGUUAAUACAUUGAAGCUAUUUUUGUUUGACUUCUCCCACUGAAGGGCCAUAAUUAGGCUUCUAUAGCCAGGGAAAUGCUGUCUUUAUUAAAAGUCAUGUUCAUAAAUGUUCUCUUGAGAUUGGUGUAUAGAUCACUAUAGCACUUGCCAAGUGUGCAUAAGAGCCUGCUGGUCCCUGGCACUACU
This 2037-nucleotide long non-coding RNA is filed under the name Mus musculus (house mouse). RNAcentral's name for it is "long non-coding RNA chr11:93937102-93939139". The record is from RNAcentral. Lineage: Eukaryota; Metazoa; Chordata; Mammalia; Rodentia; Muridae.